RNAcentral lists this ribosomal RNA (250 nucleotides) under uncultured bacterium. RNAcentral describes it as "partial 16S ribosomal RNA". It matches the Rfam family "Bacterial small subunit ribosomal RNA", at positions 524 to 773 of the family's 1533-position model. The record is from RNAcentral.
UACAGGGGGCCCGAGCGUUACUCGGAAUCACUGGGCUUAAAGGGUGCGUAGGCGGUCUCGUAAGCGUCUUGUGAAAUCCCCGGGCUCAACCCGGGAACUGCAGGGCGAACUGCGAGACUUGAGGAAACUAGAGGCCGGCGGAACGAUAGGUGGAGCGGUGGAAUGCGUAGAGAUCUAUCGGAACGCCAAAGGUGAAGACAGCCGGCUGGGGUUUUCCUGACGCUGAGGCACGAAAGCGUGGGUAGCAAAC